UACGAAGGGGGCUAGCGUUGCUCGGAAUCACUGGGCGUAAAGGGUGCGUAGGCGGGUCUUUAAGUCAGACGUGAAAUCCCUCGGCUUAACCGGGGAACUGCGUCUGAUACUGGAUGGCUUGAGUUUGGGAGAGGGAUGCGGAAUUCCAGGUGUAGCGGUGAAAUGCGUAGAUAUCUGGAGGAACACCGGUGGCGAAGGCGGCAUCCUGGACCAACACUGACGCUGAGGAGCGAAAGCCAGGGGAGCAAACGGG
RNAcentral lists this ribosomal RNA (253 nucleotides) under uncultured bacterium. Its description in RNAcentral is "partial 16S ribosomal RNA". It matches the Rfam family "Bacterial small subunit ribosomal RNA", at positions 524 to 776 of the family's 1533-position model. The record is from RNAcentral.